GACGAACGCUGGCGGCGUGCUUAACACAUGCAAGUCGAACGGAAAGGCCCUGCUUUUGUGGGGUGCUCGAGUGGCGAACGGGUGAGUAACACGUGAGUAACCUGCCCUUGACUUUGGGAUAACUUCAGGAAACUGGGGCUAAUACCGGAUAGGAGCUCCUGCUGCAUGGUGGGGGUUGGAAAGUUUCGGCGGUUGGGGAUGGACUCGCGGCUUAUCAGCUUGUUGGUGGGGUAGUGGCUUACCAAGGCUUUGACGGGUAGCCGGCCUGAGAGGGUGACCGGCCACAUUGGGACUGAGAUACGGCCCAGACUCCUACGGGAGGCAGCAGUGGGGAAUAUUGCACAAUGGGCGGAAGCCUGAUGCAGCAACGCCGCGUGCGGGAUGACGGCCUUCGGGCUGUAAACCGCUUUCGCCAGUGACGAAGCGUGAGUGACGGUAAUGGGUAAAGAAGCACCGGCUAACUACGUG
RNAcentral lists this ribosomal RNA (468 nucleotides) under uncultured bacterium. RNAcentral describes it as "partial 16S ribosomal RNA". It matches the Rfam family "Bacterial small subunit ribosomal RNA", at positions 28 to 507 of the family's 1533-position model. The record is from RNAcentral.